GCGAAAUGUUCCCGCCGGCGCCAAUGUUCAAACCCUGCUGGUGGGAAGCCUUAGCCCCAAUUAGAAUUAACUUCUUGGGCUCCGGAACUGACAUAUGGAAGAGCUUGCCAAUAAACAGGCGACCUGUUAUCUACCUCAGCACUGCAACCUCUCUUAGACCUAUAUAAACACACAGCCUUUUGUAAUAAAGCGGAAACCUCUUUGGUGAUCUGUGUCGUGUGGUGCAGCGUCUUCCAGUCUUAUAUGUUUAAGUAGCUGUCUGGUGCCCACAUCACCCUCCAGAAAGAAAGAUGCACCUCAGAUAGACGUGUGGUGUGUGUAGAGGCUCUUACCUUGGUGUAGAUCUCAGUGGGGAGCCUCCAAUCUGUAACUGCUGUUUACAGAUGACAAGUCCUUGCUUUCCCGAAUGCUGAAGUAUAACACCAGAGAAGCACGACGAGGCAAGUGUAGAGUGGAAAGUAGAAGCUUUAUUAAAGGACAGCAGAAAAGACUUCUCCCCGGAGGAAGAAGGGGACCCAAAAGGUGAAAUCCUAAAAUGUUAUUUUAAUCACAUAAACAAAUUUUCUCUUUAUGUGACUUUUUAUAGAUUUAUCUUUUUUUUUUAAGAAAGAGAGAGAGAGAGAAAUUUUUAAUAUUUAUUUUUUAGUUUUCGGUGGAUACAACAUCUUUAUUUUAUUUUAUGUGGUGCUGAGGAUCGAAACCAGGGCCCCACGCAUGCCAGGUGAGCGUGCUAUCGCUUGAGCCACAUCCCCAGCCCAAG
This 760-nucleotide long non-coding RNA is filed under the name Marmota monax (woodchuck). Lineage: Eukaryota; Metazoa; Chordata; Mammalia; Rodentia; Sciuridae. The record is from RNAcentral.